RNAcentral lists this ribosomal RNA (253 nucleotides) under uncultured bacterium. RNAcentral's name for it is "partial 16S ribosomal RNA". It matches the Rfam family "Bacterial small subunit ribosomal RNA", at positions 524 to 776 of the family's 1533-position model. The record is from RNAcentral.
UACGUAGGUGGCAAGCGUUGUCCGGAAUUAUUGGGCGUAAAGCGCGCGCAGGCGGUCCCUUAAGUCUGAUGUGAAAGCCCACGGCUCAACCGUGGAGGGUCAUUGGAAACUGGGGGACUUGAGUGCAGAAGAGGAAAGCGGAAUUCCACGUGUAGCGGUGAAAUGCGUAGAGAUGUGGAGGAACACCAGUGGCGAAGGCGGCUUUCUGGUCUGUAACUGACGCUGAGGCGCGAAAGCGUGGGGAGCAAACAGG